AUGUUAUCGAGAAAGGUGGAGAGAUUAGACUCUGUGAAACCUUGGCAACCCUUCGGAAACGAAGAAGGUGCUAAAUUCUAUCUGCAAUGGCAGAAAAGAUAACCU
This 105-nucleotide non-coding RNA is filed under the name Epilithonimonas sp. RNAcentral's name for it is "SAM-I sequence". It matches the Rfam family "SAM riboswitch aptamer (S box leader)". From Rfam's summary of the family: The SAM riboswitch is found upstream of a number of genes which code for proteins involved in methionine or cysteine biosynthesis in Gram-positive bacteria. Lineage: Bacteria; Pseudomonadati; Bacteroidota; Flavobacteriia; Flavobacteriales; Weeksellaceae. The record is from RNAcentral.